AACGCACCUUGCGCCCUCUGGUAUUCCGGAGGGCAUGCCUGUUUGAGUGUCGCGUGAAUCUCUCAACCCCGUUCGACAACUCGUUGUCUUGAGCGGGCGUUGGACUUGGACCGUGCUGCAGCAAUGCGGCUCGUCUUGAAAUGUAUCGGCUCGGCUUUCUGCGCGGGUUAACCACAGUGUGAUAAUUGUCAUCGCUGGGGUCCGCACGUCGCUUUGCCUUACCGCCCUCGGGCAAACUUCACCUUGCGCUCUGACCUCAAAUCAGGUAGGACUACCCGCUGAACUUAA
RNAcentral lists this unclassified non-coding RNA (288 nucleotides) under uncultured fungus. Its description in RNAcentral is "sequence contains ITS2". The stretch from base 1 to 52 matches the Rfam family "5.8S ribosomal RNA", at positions 103 to 154 of the family's 154-position model. The record is from RNAcentral. Lineage: Eukaryota; Fungi.